Long non-coding RNA from Monodelphis domestica (gray short-tailed opossum), 724 nucleotides. RefSeq lists it as uncharacterized. Lineage: Eukaryota; Metazoa; Chordata; Mammalia; Didelphimorphia; Didelphidae. The record is from RefSeq and is a predicted model, not a curated record.
UCCAGGCAGACACUUCUGAUGCUGCCCUUCCACACACACCUUCAGGCCACACAGCUACAAUCACCCCCCCAAUAUUUUGUGAACACAGUCCAUAGAUUAAUGUGAGACCAUCCUUGGGCAGAAGAAGCAGCUUGAAAGCAAUGGAGAAUGGGAAGAAGAAACAAGGGGCUGGGCAGGAUGAACACAACAGUGAGAUGAGAGUGGAAAACAUUAAGAGAUCUGGAGAGGUUCUCCUGUCUCAAAUAGAUUCCUUCAUGCCUGCUUCCAAGGACUCUCAACGGUACAUAUUGCCUUUCACAAAUGCCUCACAGCAUUUUGGAGUGAGCCUGAAUAAGAGUGGGAUCAGUGGGAGCUCAAGUAGAAGAUUCUCUCUCUGUCUCCAGCCUCACCCCACCUCUUUGAGAAGGCAAGCAAUGGAUAUUUGUUAUACAUGUGAAGUCAUGCAAAGCAUACUUCCAUAGUAGUGAUGUUUCAAAAAGAAAAAAGCAAGAAGAAUAAAGAAAGUAACCAAAAAUGUGCUUUAAUCUGCACUCAGGGUCAGCAGUUCUCUCUUUGGAGGCAGAAAGCAUUUUUCAUCAUGAAUCCUUUCAGCUAUAAAACCCAAUAGAAUUGGUCAUUGGCUGCAAGGGGAGGGGGAGAGGAGAGGAGGGAAAGAACAUGAAAAAUAUAACCAUGGAAAAAUAGUCUAAAUUAAUUAAAUAAACAAACUUUAAAAUAAUAAUAA